Molecule: long non-coding RNA, 1292 nt
Organism: Cyprinus carpio (common carp)
Lineage: Eukaryota; Metazoa; Chordata; Actinopteri; Cypriniformes; Cyprinidae
Source: Ensembl
CAAAAAGUUGACACAACAUUUUCUAAAAGUAAAUCUCAAGAGUCUACAAAGUUAAUCUGGAAGGCAUACAAAAAGUUCUCAGGAGUCCAUUCAAAAUCAAAAGAAAUGUCAAUACUUCCAAAAAGUAAUUCCCAUAGGUCCACAAAGUAAAUCCAUAAGGCAUUUAAAAAGUUCACAAAGAAAAGCUGUGAGUGACUCCAAACAGUUUCAAAGAGCACAUAAAAAAAUAAAAGAAAUAAAAUAAAAGAAACUAUCAAAACAGAAACUAUACCACAUGCACAAAGUUGUUUAAGGAUAAAUCCAUUAAGCAGGGCAUGAGACUACCUAGACUUGGUCAUGGCACGGGAAACAUUGACCAAAGUACUCAGGAGAAUACACAACCAGAAACAAGGCACAGGUGACAACUAUUAGACAUAAUAAUGACAGAGACUGAAACCCAACAAAAAGGCAGUGGGGGCCUCAAGUGGCCUGAAGUAAGUCCACAACCCUGACAGUGUAUCUCUGUAUGUUGCAGGGUGUUCAUAGUAAUUGUGGUGGGACUGCUGGUUGCAUGACUGGUAAUCAGGCCCGUCGCGACAAGGCAAGCAAACCAAGCAAACCAAGCAAUUGCUUGGGGCCCCGAGCUGGCCUGGGGCCCCAAGACAACGACUGGUUAAGAAUAAAAUGCAACGACACUGUGUGAGCGCCCCUUUGAUCGUCAAUGCAGUAAAGUGCAAUGACACUGUUAUCGGGAUCACCCUCAAGGGGGCCCCUCUCAGUAGUCGCUGACAGCAGCCAGCCAACCACGUGAUCUCUGCUGCCGGCAAAAUACAAAACCUCCUCGGCAGUCAUGAAGCGAAAUUAUGCUUCAGGAAGCCAGAUGAGAAAGAAGAGAAAGGAAGAGGAGGAUAAGAAAAAACAAGAUAGUGGUGCUUUGCUUAAAUUUCUCAGCCCUCAGGCUCUUCCUAAGGAUACCUCCACUGAUGAAGCUACACCAUCAACUUCAUCCUCAACAUCAACAGAUGCAUCACUUCUCAGUGCUGAUGUUUCCUCUAUACUGUAGCACAAGCUACACCGUCAAUACCAUCUCUCACAGUGGAAGACACUGCAUCCAGGUUUCCUCUACAGCUCAAGGUACCACAAGCACUGUCACUAUAGCUGAUGACCCUACGCAGUGGCCAGCAGUCCUGACUGAUAGUGUGCACUGUCAAAUUGUUAAAAAAAAAAAAAAAAAAAAAAGGACCAGUGCCAGUCACAAACAUUGUUUUCCCCCAAAAUUCUGAGAAUCCCCCUCGAAGAUUCACAAAUGACAA